RNAcentral lists this long non-coding RNA (1106 nucleotides) under Homo sapiens (human). Its description in RNAcentral is "long intergenic non-protein coding RNA 2055". The record is from RNAcentral. Lineage: Eukaryota; Metazoa; Chordata; Mammalia; Primates; Hominidae.
ACCUCCCCACAAGCUGAGGGAGCCGGCUGCGGCCUUCGCCAGCCCAGAAAGGGGCUCCUACAGUGCAGUGGCGGGCUGAAGGGCUGCUCAAGCGCCGCCAAAGUGGGAGCCCAGGCAGAGGAGGCGCCCAGAGCGAGCGAGGGCUGUGAGGACUGCCAGCACGCUGUCACCUCUCACUCAUAUAGAUUGCCAAUCUAUUUGUGAACCAGGUUUGCUGGAGUUUGGAUUUACUACUGAGUCAUAUUUGGAGCAUGCUGGAAUCUUACAACUGAGAUUACCGAGUCAGAAACUUGCAAACAUGAGUAACAUGGCCCUGCUCUGGAGACUACUGGGAACACAAACACAGCCAUUUAAGACAUCUACCUGCUUCUCCUUUGCCUUCCAUCAUGACUGAAAGUUGUCUGAGGUCUCCCAGCCACGUGUCCUGUACAGCCUGUGGAACUACUUUAAAGAAGAAUCAGAAAAUGGAGACUGGGAUUGGAAGCAGAGAUCCGAUGGCCAAAUUACAGUCUGCCACUGAAGCUAACACACCUAUGGAUAACCCAACCUGUAAACUCAAUGUGGAACACAGUUUGAGAAAAGAAGUGAGAAGAUUCAAUUUUGAAGUUGGAUCACUCUCCUACAGGCAAUGAAGACCACAUCACUGAUGGUAGGGUGAAUGUUCUCGUACCUCACAAAGUGGCAGUCCACUUCUUAAAACAUCCACUAUGCAUGGAGAAAACCAUGGUGAUAAGGAUAAUGGACUGGGUAGCCUGUGAUUGGUGAUACAGAUGCUCUAGAGAAAGCUGAUGCUGAGUAGCAGGUCAAUGAAAACCAGGUGUGAAAGUAGCAGCAUCUUGGUUGCAUUUAAAACAGUUUUAUCCUUGCAGUAUAGUUUGAAGUGAGGUAGCAUGAUGCAUCCAGCUUUGUUCUUUUUGCUUAGGAUUGUCUUGGCUAUAGGGGGACUUUAACUUCAUAUGAAACUUAAAAUAGUUGUUUUCUAAUUCUGUGAAGAAUGUCAAUGGCGGUUUCAUGGGAGUAACAUUGAAUCUAUAAAUUACUUUAGGCAAUAUGUCCAUUUUCAUGAUAUUGAUGCUUCCUAUCCAUAAAGAUGAAAUGUUUUUCCA